Non-coding RNA from Triticum aestivum (bread wheat), 117 nucleotides. The record is from Rfam. NCBI's taxonomy places the organism in Eukaryota, Viridiplantae, Streptophyta, Magnoliopsida, Poales, Poaceae.
CAAAUACUCCCUCCGUCCGGAAAUACUUGUCAUCAAAAUGGAUAAAAAGGGAUGUAUCUAGACACUCCCUUUUUAUCCAUUUUGAUGACAAGUAUUUUCGGACGGAGGGAGUAUGUG